This 211-nucleotide unclassified non-coding RNA is filed under the name plant metagenome. RNAcentral describes it as "partial contains small subunit ribosomal RNA, internal transcribed spacer 1, and 5.8S ribosomal RNA". The record is from RNAcentral.
UUUCCGUAGGUGAACCUGCGGAAGGAUCAUUCAUAAUAAAGUGUUUUAUGGCACUUUCUAAAAAUCCAUAUCCACCUUGUGUGCAAUGUUAGAUCUCGUCAAUCUUGGCGAGGUUUUUAUACAUCAACUCAUUCUUUAACUAAUUUGUCUGAAAAAUAUUAUGAAUACUUAAUUCAAAAUACAACUUUCAACAACGGAUCUCUUGGCUCUC